RNAcentral lists this unclassified non-coding RNA (1441 nucleotides) under uncultured Neocallimastigales. Its description in RNAcentral is "partial contains small subunit ribosomal RNA, internal transcribed spacer 1, 5.8S ribosomal RNA, internal transcribed spacer 2, and large subunit ribosomal RNA". The stretch from base 662 to 1441 matches the Rfam family "Eukaryotic large subunit ribosomal RNA", at positions 1 to 630 of the family's 3401-position model. The record is from RNAcentral. Lineage: Eukaryota; Fungi; Neocallimastigomycota; Neocallimastigomycetes; Neocallimastigales.
UUUCCGUAGGUGAACCUGCGGAAGGAUCAUUAAAAAAUUGGACUCCAUUGGUGAGUUCAUUAAUAAUCCCUACCCUUUGUGAAUUUGUUUGUUUGAAUAAUUUUUUUUCCAAAAAAAAUUAUUGAAUGUCUUUCCUUGUUUUGGUGGAGCUUGUAAAGUGAAACCAGGCAGGGGAAUGGCAAACAAUAAUUAUUUUUGAAAAAGACCUUUUUUUAAAAUUAAACUUUUUGUAUUCAUUUGUCUAAAAUUAAUUUUUAUAAUAUAAAAACAACUUUUGACAAUGGAUCUCUUGGUUCUCGCAACGAUGAAGAACGCAGCAAAAUGCGAUAAGUAGUGUGAAUUGCAGAAUACGUGAAUCAUCGAAUCUUCGAACGCAUAUUGCACUUUUUUAGUUUACUAAAAAAGUAUGUCUGUUUGAGUAUCAGUAAAAUAUUCUCAUAAAAAACAUUGUUUUUUUUAUGGUUAUGAGUGUUUUACAACGAUAACAAGUUGUUUCACUUUAAAUUCUUUGUUAUCAAAAAAAUCAUUAAAAGCUAAUUUUAAAGAUUUUUUAAAAUUGGAUAAAAUUUUCCCGUAAAAAGGAAUAACCUAAACAAUUUUAAAAAAUUAAAAUUGGUUUGAUUUUUUUUGAAACCCAAAGGAAAAAAAAACGAAAUUAACUUGAUCUCAAAUCAGAUAAGAGUACCCGCUGAACUUAAGCAUAUCAAUAAGCGGAGGAAAAGAAACUAACUAGGAUUCCCUCAGUAACGGCGAGUGAAGCGGGAAGAGCUCAAAUUUGAAAUCUUCAAGGUUUUACCUUGACGAAUUGUAGUUUAAAGAAGUGUUUUCUGUUGGAGUUUUGGUAAAAGUUCUUUGGAAAAGGACAUCAUAGAGGGUGAGAAUCCCGUAUUUGACCAUUAUCUCCAGCUUUGUGAUACACUUUCAAAGAGUCGGAUUGUUUGGGAAUGCAGUCCAAAAUGGGUGGUAAAUUUCAUCUAAAGCUAAAUACUGGCGAGAGACCGAUAGCGAACAAGUACCGUGAGGGAAAGAUGAAAAGAACUUUGAAAAGAGAGUUAAACAGUACGUGAAAUUGUCAAAAGGGAAGCGUUUGACACCAGUGUUGUUUUCUCGAAAAUCAAUUAAAAAAGGCCGGAUUUUGUGUUGUAUUGACUUUAUCAGCUUUCUGCACUCUUUUCUUGUCUUUGUUAAUGCACUUUUCGUUUAACAAGUCAACAUCAAUUUCUUUUGUUGUAAAAGGGUCAUUGGAAGGUGGCUUUCUUUUCGGAGAAAGUGUUUAUAGCCUUUGGCCUCUGCAAUCGGAGAGAUUGAGGUCUGCAGCGUAGAUCCUUCGGGGUUAGAUACAUUUGUGCUAAGUUAUAGCCUUUCAUAGACAACUUGUUGACUAUGAUCAGUCAUGUAGCUUACUCGCUUAUGCUAUUUUACCUACGCUUAGGAUGUUGAG